Molecule: long non-coding RNA, 844 nt
Organism: Ostrea edulis (European flat oyster)
Lineage: Eukaryota; Metazoa; Mollusca; Bivalvia; Ostreida; Ostreidae
Exons: 2
Source: RefSeq, a predicted model, not a curated record
GUAAAAAUCAAAUGGAUAUCGUUAAAAUAUCACAUUUCGGAAAACGGAAGCGUGGUUCCGCAUUUACAUUUGAUUGUGACGUAGGCCGAGGAUAGGUCUACUUUAAUUAAUAAUUAAUGCGUAGUCUUGCACUUUUUAUCAUCAUGGUACGGACUUUCCUCGCAUUCAUUAACCUAUUCAUUUACGCAAACCGUACGCGCGUGUCUAGUUCUGGCUGUGCUAUAAGAAUUUCAUCCCCCAACCAAUAUCCUUUUUACUUCCGGAGGAUUUGAUGGUAUUCAAUCACCGUUUACAGUGAACCUUUCUUAGACAGACCGCUUCAUAUUUCCCGCGUUAGAAAAUGUAUGCAUCGAUUUUCUGGACCUGCUGAGAAAUAGCAUCCAUGUAACGAUUGGGUUGGGAAGUCCAAUGGCAUUCCUUUGCGACACCGGAAGACGAAAGUUGAGCGCCCUCUUAGUUGUUCUUGUUGUCUUGGAGAUCUUCAUCAUCUGCCUUGUUGUUUGCUAUGAGCACAAUUCGGCAAUCACGCAUGCUCUUCUUCGACAAGAAAUGGAGGUCAGGCGAGUUACACCGAGAGGCAUUGACGGCAUGUAAAAGUUGUGAAUACAGUUUAACACUGGAUGAACGAGGAAUUAACGUAGACUUCAUCAGUGAGUGCAGUCUUCUUCCAUUGGUGCUGAUGUUGAACUGAAAAUUUCACCGCAGAAGUCACAGAAAUGAAGCUGGCCGAGUGGGUCGCACAUGUUUAUUAUUCAAGACAACCUAUGCACAAUAGAAAUGCUUAUGUAUUAUUGUAUAUAGUAAUAUCUUCUUAGAAUAAUAAAAUAAAUAUUAAGAACAUAUA